This 469-nucleotide ribosomal RNA is filed under the name uncultured bacterium. RNAcentral's name for it is "bacterial SSU rRNA". It matches the Rfam family "Bacterial small subunit ribosomal RNA", at positions 28 to 507 of the family's 1533-position model. The record is from RNAcentral.
GAUGAACGCUAGCUACAGGCUUAACACAUGCAAGUCGAGGGGCAGCGCAGUGUAGCAAUACACGGGCGGCGACCGGCGCACGGGUGCGUAACGCGUAUCCAACCUUCCCGUUACUCUCGGAUAGCCUUCCGAAAGGGAGAUUAAUACGAGAUGGUGUUCAGUUUCCGCAUGUUUACUGAACUAAAGAUUCAUCGGUAACGGAUAGGGAUGCGUGACAUUAGAUAGUUGGCGGGGUAACGGCCCACCAAGUCUACGAUGUCUAGGGGUUCUGAGAGGAAGGUCCCCCACACUGGAACUGAGACACGGUCCAGACUCCUACGGGAGGCAGCAGUGGGGAAUAUUGCACAAUGGGCGAAAGCCUGAUGCAGCGAUGCCGCGUGAGGGAAGAAGGUUUUAGGAUUGUAAAACCUCUGUUUUCAGGGGACGAUAAAUGACGGUACCUGAGGAGGAAGCUCCGGCUAACUACGUG